RNAcentral lists this ribosomal RNA (499 nucleotides) under uncultured bacterium. Its description in RNAcentral is "bacterial SSU rRNA". It matches the Rfam family "Bacterial small subunit ribosomal RNA", at positions 899 to 1397 of the family's 1533-position model. The record is from RNAcentral.
ACUCAAAUGAAUAGACGGGGGCCCGCACAAGCGGUGGAGCAUGUGGUUCAAUUCGACGCAACGCGAAGAACCUUACCAGCCCUUGACAUGUCUAGGACCGGUCGCAGAGACGCGACCUUCUCUUCGGAGCCUGGAACACAGGUGCUGCAUGGCUGUCGUCAGCUCGUGUCGUGAGAUGUUGGGUUAAGUCCCGCAACGAGCGCAACCCUCGUCCUUAGUUGCCAUCAUUAAGUUGGGCACUCUAAGGAGACUGCCGGUGAUAAGCCGCGAGGAAGGUGGGGAUGACGUCAAGUCCUCAUGGCCCUUACGGGCUGGGCUACACACGUGCUACAAUGGCGGUGACAAUGGGCAGCGAACCCGCAAGGGGGAGCUAAUCUCUAAAAACCGUCUCAGUUCGGAUUGCACUCUGCAACUCGAGUGCAUGAAGUUGGAAUCGCUAGUAAUCGUGGAUCAGCAUGCCACGGUGAAUACGUUCCCGGGCCUUGUACACACCGCCCGU